Molecule: long non-coding RNA, 182 nt
Organism: Hibiscus syriacus
Lineage: Eukaryota; Viridiplantae; Streptophyta; Magnoliopsida; Malvales; Malvaceae
Exons: 3
Source: RefSeq, a predicted model, not a curated record
UUUGGAUGUAUGAGAUGGGUUUGGUUGGUAGAAAGAAAGGAAAUUGAAAGUUUAUAGGGAUUGUCAACUUCUUAUAGGCUUUCAAAGAGGCUCUUGUAUGGUAUUUAUGAUUGAUUCUUUUGCAGCAACGUUUACUUGUUGUAUAUUAUGGACGUCAAAUCAUUGGGAUGCAAGUUUGCUGU